Molecule: unclassified non-coding RNA, 412 nt
Filed under: soil metagenome
Description: partial contains 5.8S ribosomal RNA, internal transcribed spacer 2, and large subunit ribosomal RNA
Rfam family: 5.8S ribosomal RNA (bases 1-121)
Source: RNAcentral
GAUGAAGAACGCAGCGAAAUGCGAUAAGUAGUGUGAAUUGCAGAAGUACCGUGAAUCAUCGAAUCUUUGAACGCAAAUUGCACUCUCUGGUAUUCCGGGGAGUAUGCCUGUUUGAGGGUCGCUUAACAAACCAUCGAUUUCGUUGCUUUUUUUUUAAAGAGUGAUGUUUAUCGGAUUUGAGCCGUCUUUUUUUUUUAUAUUUAAAAGUGGCUUAAAAUUGAUUUUUUUGGUACGAUCGAAGCGUAUUUUUAUGAUCAAUUUUUGGUUAAAGAAACGCACACGUACCGUUAUUUAUAUGAUGUAAUACGUUUGACUAUUGGAUUUAGUUCAUUCGUAUACGAUAUCUUUCAAUAUUUGACCUCAAAUCAGGUAAGAACACCCGCUGAACUUAAGCAUAUCAAUAAGCGGAGGA